GUGUGUGGACGGGGGAUCACUCGGCUCGUCCGUCGAUGAAGAGCGCGGCUAUCCGCGUGAACUAAUCCGUAUUGCAGGACUCAGUGAACAUCGACACCUCGAACGCACAUUGCAGCCCCGGGAUCCCAUCGUCCCGGGGCCCCGUCCGGUCGAAAGAAA
Octopus bimaculoides (California two-spot octopus) is the source of this 159-nucleotide non-coding RNA. The record is from Rfam. Lineage: Eukaryota; Metazoa; Mollusca; Cephalopoda; Octopoda; Octopodidae.